This 308-nucleotide unclassified non-coding RNA is filed under the name Hevea brasiliensis (rubber tree). The record is from RNAcentral. Lineage: Eukaryota; Viridiplantae; Streptophyta; Magnoliopsida; Malpighiales; Euphorbiaceae.
UAAAAAUGAUCGGUGUAAUGAAAUUAAAUCAUGCUCUAUAUGUUCAAAAGGUACUCUGAGUCACCAAGAUUACACAAGAAUAUUCAUCACAAUGAGCAAACUGAUGCAACAAGGUUGCGAAAUGCAUAGACAAUCAAAGAAUGAUCAAAUAGUCUUAGCAUCAGGAACUGUAAAGUUUUUGUCCACAAUCAAUUCAGUCAGAAAUCAAUGAAAAUGGAAUCAAACAAGCAUCCCAUUUGUUCCCAGGAAAAAUGAUGUGAAACUAAUUCUAAAAGCUAACUUACCAGAAGUUCAUUCAUAUCACUAGA